AGGUUUGGAACAACUUGUUGACAACUUGUAACAACCUUGUCGAAAUUACCAGACUUGUUGCAAGGUUUUUCUGACAAGUCCGUUACAUGCUUGACAUAACAAGAUUGUUACAACCUUGUGUUGAUAACCUUGUAACAUCCUUGUUAUAUCAUGGCUGUAACAAACUUGUUAGCACAAUCUUGUAACAAAGCUGGUAAUGCCAUCAAGCUUGUUAGAAGUUGCUAACAGCUUGUUUCAAACUU
Molecule: non-coding RNA, 242 nt
Organism: Paramuricea clavata
Lineage: Eukaryota; Metazoa; Cnidaria; Anthozoa; Malacalcyonacea; Plexauridae
Source: the annotation of a GenBank genome assembly